CAGUAGCCGCGGUAAUACGUAGGGUGCGAGCGUUAAUCGGAAAUACUGGGCGUAAAGCGUGCGCAGGCGGUUCGUUAAGACAGAUGUGAAAUCCCCGGGCUUAACCUGGGAACUGCAUUUGUGACUGGCGAGCUAGAGUAUGGCAGAGGGGGGUAGAAUUCCACGUGUAGCAGUGAAAUGCGUAGAGAUGUGGAGGAAUACCGAUGGCGAAGGCAGCCCCCUGGGCCAAUACUGACGCUCAUGCACGAAAGCGUGGGGAGCAAACAGGAUUAGAUCCCGCGUAGUCCCUGUCUCUUAUACA
RNAcentral lists this ribosomal RNA (301 nucleotides) under uncultured bacterium. RNAcentral describes it as "partial 16S ribosomal RNA". It matches the Rfam family "Bacterial small subunit ribosomal RNA", at positions 509 to 808 of the family's 1533-position model. The record is from RNAcentral.